CUGACCUCAAAUAUGGUUUUUCCAUUUAUUUUGGAUGGCCACUGCUGAAAAGUAUCCUGCUGAAGGGGUAGGUCCAAAUCAAUCUGGGAGAGGCCAAGCAUAGUUUUUUGAGGAGUGAAACUUCCAGCAGCAAACCGCUUGGAUAAUUACUCAAGGUUUUCCCUACAGUAUUUUCUAAGGCAAUGUUUGAUUUUCAGUGAACCAUCAGAAGGUGAAGUGGAAGUUUUCCUUUGGACCCUGCAGAAGCAAAUAUGAGAAUCCAACUGCUUCUAUUUAGGCAGGCACUGAAGAGAUA
Molecule: long non-coding RNA, 295 nt
Filed under: Homo sapiens (human)
Lineage: Eukaryota; Metazoa; Chordata; Mammalia; Primates; Hominidae
Description: HSALNT0406987
Source: RNAcentral